GACGAACGCUGGCGGCGUGCCUAAUACAUGCAAGUCGAGCGGACUUUCAAGAAGCUUGCUUUUUGAAAGUUAGCGGCGGACGGGUGAGUAACACGUGGGCAACCUGCCUGCAAGACGGGGAUAACUCCGGGAAACCGGGGCUAAUACCGGAUAAUAUCUUCCUUCGCAUGAAGGAAGGUUGAAAGGCGGCGCAAGCUGCCGCUUGCAGAUGGGCCCGCGGCGCAUUAGCUAGUUGGUGAGGUAACGGCUCACCAAGGCGACGAUGCGUAGCCGACCUGGGAGGGUGAUCGGCCACACUGGGACUGAGACACGGCCCAGACUCCUACGGGAGGCAGCAGUAGGGAAUCUUCCGCAAUGGACGAAAGUCUGACGGAGCAACGCCGCGUGAGCGAAGAAGGUCUUCGGAUCGUAAAGCUCUGUUGUCAGGGAAGAACAAGUACCGUUCGAACAGGGCGGUACCUUGACGGUACCUGACCAGAAAGCCACGGCUAACUACGU
RNAcentral lists this ribosomal RNA (498 nucleotides) under uncultured bacterium. RNAcentral describes it as "partial 16S ribosomal RNA". It matches the Rfam family "Bacterial small subunit ribosomal RNA", at positions 28 to 506 of the family's 1533-position model. The record is from RNAcentral.